UUCAGUCAUACAAAGCUAGCUGAAGUGUUCAUACUUGUCAGCUGAAGAAGUCCACGAUCCUCAUCCAUCCAAGCCACCCCAUUUUUCUUUUAUAACCUACACCAUUCUUCACCCAAACCUCACCACUUCACCAUUUCUAAAUUCUGCAGUCUCAAUUUCACACAGCAAGUUAAGAAAUAAAUAUCUUCCACCACACCUAUUCAAGGUUGAGCGGGUGAUGGAAUGGAGUGGAGUUGAGCGGAUGUACCUUUUGACAUAAAAUAAUAAUGUACCCUUGAGACGUAGAACAGUAAUGUAACCUUGAGUAUACAUCUUCAUAUGUAUAACUCACACGUAUUUCCGCUGCAAGAUACUCUGAUUAUGCUAAUGUUUUAUUUUAAGUAUGAUACUCUUUUGUUGGGUAAUCCACUUCGACGGGCCUUCCCGAACAAACGUCUUGUAUUUGCCCAAGUGAUCAGUUAUGAUCCUAGUGUUAUAUAAUAAAUGUCUCUUUUCGUAAAAUGUUUGAUUGUUAAGUAAAUGCCCCUUUCUUUCCCCGCUUCUUAAUCCCCUUCCCGAGUCAUAACCCCGGUUAAACCA
Long non-coding RNA from Salvia miltiorrhiza (redroot sage), 579 nucleotides. RefSeq lists it as uncharacterized. The record is from RefSeq and is a predicted model, not a curated record. The transcript is spliced from 3 exons. NCBI's taxonomy places the organism in Eukaryota, Viridiplantae, Streptophyta, Magnoliopsida, Lamiales, Lamiaceae.